RNAcentral lists this ribosomal RNA (2843 nucleotides) under Triticum aestivum (bread wheat). RNAcentral describes it as "partial small subunit ribosomal RNA". The record is from RNAcentral. Lineage: Eukaryota; Viridiplantae; Streptophyta; Magnoliopsida; Poales; Poaceae.
CAUUGGGAUUACGUAACGAAUCGGGCACUACAUUGGGUCCCGAGACGGGGUCGUCGGCGGAGGGAGCGGGGACAUUGGAGAGAGACGAGACUGGAUCUUGUCUAGACCGAGUGGAGAGUAGGGGUGGGAUUGGAGGUGCCAGGAAGAAGACGGUCAGCGGUACCGCAGAGCGACGGUCCGGCCACGAAGGAAGGGCGGGGCCCCUCGGGGCUCUCGACGAGGCAGACAAGAGGUCCGCGUGGAAGGACCGGCACCUGCGUGCGAAGGUAACUUAAUUGGUACAGCGAGCGGCCAGCCGCCCGGUUCUCUAAAUGGACCAUCGAGCGAGAGCAGAGGUACCACCGGCCGUUCGCGAGUGCCGCCAGGGAGAGCAGCAGCCAGCUCCCGCGGAGACCAGCUGCCGGUCUUCACGUACCGACCGUACCAAAAACAGUAGGUCGUGGCAGAUCCAGGAACUCAUAUGUAUCCUAAGGUAUCGAUACGUCUAAACUGUGUGGGCAGGUAGGUAGGUACUACGAGACGUGUUGUCUAUCCGGGGUACGUUACGAGUUGUGGCCUCACAACACUUGAAUUAACCUUCGUCUUAGCUAUGUUCAGGCGCCAUGUUAUAACCUAACUCGCACGUGAAGGAUGAACCGUAGUCCGACUGUUAUUAUAUGCGGUACUGGAACAUGAAAGACAGAAAACCAACCGUCCUUAUUUUGUUUCCAAACGGAUGUGGUGACUACUACGGCGGCGGCGGUGAAGCCGAUAGCGUUCUGGUAAAACAGGCGGCGAUGUAGUCCGCGUUCUAUGAAAGCCGGCGGCGACGGAGUUCCAACCCAACGGUACAUAUAUAGUCGUUCUUUACCCGGCCUCCUUCUUUGCUUCGUUCGGGUCGUCCGACGGGUAAACAGGGUCGGGCGUCGUGUUCGUCUACGUGCGGGCGUAGGGCGUCGGGGCGUAACGAGGGCAGGGGAAACCAUAGGUAAGGCGUGGUUUUGGAUCUACGUGCGGCGUGGUCGGCGGAGGCCGGCCUGCGGCGCGGGAAGGAGUCAUCCGGCGGUUGAGAUCGGCGGGAAGGACGAUCACCGACGCGCGGACGCGGGACGACGAAGGUGCGGCCGCGGCCGGUGCCGCUGGUCAGAAUUCGCCGGUCGCGGGUCGCCGUCGUCGAAGCGGCUGCCGGCCGCCACACGUCCGCACGUGCGACGCGACCCCAGACCUCUGCACGUCGUAUCGUUCGAUCGUCGACCCUCGACUCGUCGUCGGACGUUGGUGAAACAAACCGGCUAAACAGGUCUCGGAGUUCUCGGAUUCGUAGAGUACCGCUUGUAUGUAGGACUGAAGUUCUUCUUCUACCGAGCACGUCACCCGUAUCAAUUGAACCUUGAUAGGCUGGGAAGACUUCAAGACGAGGUUCUACACCAGUUCCACAACCACCUGUCUUGGUGACCACAACACUACGUUUUUCGUAAGGCGUAGAACCGGAGGGGUGAGGGCCAGCUAAUAUACCUGUUCGGUUAGCGUUCUGAGAAGGGGUUAGGACUACUAAUAAAACGGAGCUAGCCCGAACUAAGUUGUUAACCAAGUGGUAAGUGAUAGGGGACCAGGCUCAGAAGAAACUUGCUACUACAAGGCAUAUAAUAUGUACGAGCAAUGGUGGCCAACCGACCGGUAAAUCACGAGGAACGAAGGAAUGGUUGUCUACCGCAACUCUUACGAAGUUCUCGGCGUGUCAAGUUUUUGGUACAGGAACUUCUCGACACAGUAGACCGAUAGUUCUCGAGGUGCUUGGUACAACUAAGUAACAAGGAAGGAGUAGGUUAAAUACAUACCCACCAAGCCCUCUAACUUCUUGAAGUACGUUUCUUCGUUCGACGUAACCCCCCGCCACCGAGGGUGGUUCCUUUCGCGUAGUUCAAAGUCUAAGUUGUAGAACUCCCGAAGAACUGGUUGCCGUUGGACUUCAUACCAACCUUCGAGAAGACGACGUUCGUCCAAUACAGCUUCAGAGACCUUCCUGAGCUCCUUCAACAACUCUUCGAGCUUGUCGUCCUGCUUUUGGACUUCCUCCACAUGGCUUAGGAACGGGUACUCGAAGGCCGUCUCAAGUACUCGGUUGGGUAACCACUGGAAGAGGGAGUAUGGUAGAACGACCCGGAGGGCGACCUGUACCUGUUCGGCCACUCACAUUUUAAACCAGGUAUUAAGACAACCAGAACGGACUACAAGCGACAACACAAUAGGACGCCAAAGAACGAUAGAAAGACUAAGGUAAACUAGACGAAAACCGUGUACAAAAUACCAACGACUAACUACAUUUUGAACUAUCGAGAUCGUAGAGUUAAGACAUACGACAUGACACAAAAAUGCAGACUUUACGAACACAAGGAGUUUGCAAACUUGACUAAAACACAUAUGAAGACAUAAACUUCACGAUUGAAACGGACCACCGGACAUCUCCAGUACUGUGAUCACAUUAGUUAAAAAAACUCUUCUACACACCUCAGGUUAUACAACUAUAGUAGAUCACAUGUGUUAUAGUAGAUCACAUGUGUUACUACAACUCGUCGAGUUCUUUUUGGAUAGGUUCUACCUACGGUCACCGCUAGUUGAGUUUGUUGCAGUUGCACAAUAUCUUCUCGCACUUUUAUAAUAGAUGGCGUGUUAGCUGAUGAAACUAUCGUCGAACACUUGGGAAAACAAGCGACUGUAGAACACGUACGAAUGCGACACUGUAGAAUACGCACGAAUGUGAGAACACCACCUACAAGGAUAAACCAAGACGAUAGAAGUAGUUUGUAUAUAUUUCUUUGACGAAUCGAUACGUUGUUCGAUUGUAAGGUACAAGAGAGAGUGGG